RNAcentral lists this long non-coding RNA (571 nucleotides) under Prunus dulcis (almond). Its description in RNAcentral is "sRNA ncRNA". The record is from RNAcentral. Lineage: Eukaryota; Viridiplantae; Streptophyta; Magnoliopsida; Rosales; Rosaceae.
GCUUUUUCAAACUCAAUCUUAAAAAUGAGACCCUCCUAUUUUUUCUUUCGAACCUCUUCCACCACUUUAUUUGCUAUGAAAACUGCAUCCAAAGUCUGCGUCCACAUCACAAAUGCACCUUGAGCUUUUGAAAUCGUGUCUUCCAUUACCGAUCUCAACUUGUAAGCCAAAGCUUUUGCAAUAAUUUUAUGGAGACUUGACACCAAGCUUAUAGGUCUGAAAUCCCCCACCUUAACUGCCUCAAACUUCUUUUGUAUGAGAUAAAUGUAAGUUUUAUUGGUAGCCGCAUUUAUUAACCAUGUUCUAUGAAAUUCCUUAAAUACCCUCAUUAAAUCAACCUUCAAAACAACGCAACAAUACUAAUACAACGCCAUUGAAAACCCAUCAGAGCCUGGAGAUUUAUCCUUUCCACAAUCGUAAAUGGCUCUCUUAACCUCCUCUUGUUCAAAUGGUCUCUCAAGCCAAACAACCUUCUCUUCGCUAAUCGGUACCCAUCUAACCGUCGCAACCUCAAUCUUCUUACCGCCCUUAAAAAAAUUAACAAUUUCGUCAUUGUGUCCUUUGAUAUAAG